UAGGGAAUAUUGCGCAAUGGUCGAAAGGCUGACGCAGCGACGCCGCGUGGAUGAUGAAGGUCUUCGGAUCGUAAAAUCCUGUCAGAUGGGAAGAAAUGUUUAUGUGUUAAUAUCACAUAUUCUUGACGGUACCAUCAAAGGAAGCACCGGCUAACUCCGUG
Molecule: ribosomal RNA, 161 nt
Filed under: uncultured Desulfobulbaceae bacterium
Lineage: Bacteria; Pseudomonadati; Thermodesulfobacteriota; Desulfobulbia; Desulfobulbales; Desulfobulbaceae
Description: partial 16S ribosomal RNA
Rfam family: Bacterial small subunit ribosomal RNA
Source: RNAcentral